RNAcentral lists this ribosomal RNA (253 nucleotides) under uncultured bacterium. RNAcentral describes it as "partial 16S ribosomal RNA". It matches the Rfam family "Bacterial small subunit ribosomal RNA", at positions 524 to 776 of the family's 1533-position model. The record is from RNAcentral.
UACGAAGGGGGCUAGCGUUGCUCGGAAUUACUGGGCGUAAAGCGCACGUAGGCGGAUUGUUAAGUCGGGGGUGAAAUCCUGGAGCUCAACUCCAGAACUGCCUUCGAUACUGGCGAUCUCGAGUUCGGGAGAGGUGAGUGGAAUUGCGAGUGUAGAGGUGAAAUUCGUAGAUAUUCGCAAGAACACCAGUGGCGAAGGCGGCUCACUGGCCCGGUACUGACGCUGAGGUGCGAAAGCGUGGGGAGCAAACAGG